RNAcentral lists this ribosomal RNA (484 nucleotides) under uncultured bacterium. Its description in RNAcentral is "partial 16S ribosomal RNA". It matches the Rfam family "Bacterial small subunit ribosomal RNA", at positions 28 to 523 of the family's 1533-position model. The record is from RNAcentral.
GACGAACGCUGGCGGCGUGCUUAACACAUGCAAGUCGAACGAUGAAGCCGGAGCUUGCUCUGGUGAAUUAGUGGCGAACGGGUGAGUAACACGUGAGUAACCUGCCCUUGACUCUGGGAUAACUGCUAGAAAUGGUAGCUAAUACCGGAUACGACCCUCGGAGGCAUCUCCAGGGGGUGGAAAGAAUUUCGGUCAAGGAUGGACUCGCGGCCUAUCAGCUAGUUGGUGAGGUAACGGCUCACCAAGGCGACGACGGGUAGCCGGCCUGAGAGGGUGGCCGGCCACACUGGGACUGGGAAACGGCCCAGACUCCUACGGGAGGCAGCAGUGGGGAAUAUUGCACAAUGGGCGCAAGCCUGAUGCAGCAACGCCGCGUGAGGGAUGACGGCCUUCGGGUUGUAAACCUCUUUUAGUAGGGAAGAAGCGAAAGUGACGGUACCUGCAGAAAAAGCACCGGCUAACUACGUGCCAGCAGCCGCCGUAA